GUCCGUGUGGCUCAGUUGGUAGAGCAUGGUGUUUGCAACGCUAGGGUUGUGGGUUCAAUUCCCACGGGGGACU
RNAcentral lists this transfer RNA (73 nucleotides) under Salmo salar (Atlantic salmon). It matches the Rfam family "tRNA". Rfam says of the family: Transfer RNA (tRNA) molecules are approximately 80 nucleotides in length. Their secondary structure includes four short double-helical elements and three loops (D, anti-codon, and T loops). Further hydrogen bonds mediate the characteristic L-shaped molecular structure. tRNAs have two regions of fundamental functional importance: the anti-codon, which is responsible for specific mRNA codon recognition, and the 3' end, to which the tRNAs corresponding amino acid is attached (by aminoacyl-tRNA synthetases). tRNAs cope with the degeneracy of the genetic code in two manners: having more than one tRNA (with a specific anti-codon) for a particular amino acid; and 'wobble' base-pairing, i.e. permitting non-standard base-pairing at the 3rd anti-codon position. The record is from Rfam by way of RNAcentral. Lineage: Eukaryota; Metazoa; Chordata; Actinopteri; Salmoniformes; Salmonidae.